This is a long non-coding RNA of Homo sapiens (human), 519 nucleotides long. RefSeq lists it as uncharacterized. The record is from RefSeq and is a predicted model, not a curated record. NCBI's taxonomy places the organism in Eukaryota, Metazoa, Chordata, Mammalia, Primates, Hominidae. The transcript has 3 exons.
UCCAAACUGUGGCCUCCAAUUUUAUUUUUCUUUAACCUGUUCAUCUGGUAUUUCCUCAUGAUUAGAUUUAGGUUAUUAGAUUUAGGUAAUUAGAUUCCUCCCUUUUGGCAGGAAUACCACAGAAGUGAUGUCAUACCCAUUUCAGUGCAUCAUAUCUGGAGCUACAAAAUGACUGCUGUUUGCUUGUGUCUCUUUGGGAAAAUUAUAUAAGAGUUCCUUAUUCUCCUGGAACAGGCAAACUCAGGACAGGAUACACAGCAUGCUAAGAGAACAAGACAAACUCCAUCUUGGCUCUUUCACUGGCAGCCUCUUCCUCAAGGACUUAACUUGUGCAAGCUGACUCCCAGCACAUCCAAGAAUGCAAUUAACGGAUAAGAUACUGUGGCGAGCUAUAUCCGCAGUGCCCAAGAAUUCGUCUGAUUGAUAACGCCCAAAGCCCUGUGUCUAUCACCUUGUAAUAGUCUUAAAGCCCCUGCACCUGGAACUGUUUACUUUCCUGUAACCAUUUAUCCUUUUACC